GCAGAAGUGCCGAGGGACUUUUCCAGUCACGGCGUCUGCACAUUGCACUCCACUGGCCUUUCCACCAAGCCGUGGGGUUCAUGGUGCAGAUUUCGAGCUUGGGUCUUUGGGCAUUUGGAUGU
Molecule: microRNA precursor, 122 nt
Filed under: Callithrix jacchus (white-tufted-ear marmoset)
Lineage: Eukaryota; Metazoa; Chordata; Mammalia; Primates; Cebidae
Description: microRNA cja-mir-9964 precursor
Source: miRBase by way of RNAcentral